This is a long non-coding RNA of Trematomus bernacchii (emerald rockcod), 547 nucleotides long. RefSeq lists it as uncharacterized. The record is from RefSeq and is a predicted model, not a curated record. Lineage: Eukaryota; Metazoa; Chordata; Actinopteri; Perciformes; Nototheniidae. The transcript has 3 exons.
CAGGUGUUAGGGUGGAGAGUCAGGUGUUAGGGUGGAGAGUCAGGUGUUAGGGUGGAGAGUCAGGUGUUAGGGUGGAGGGUCAGGUGUUAGGGUGGAGAGUCAGGUGUUAGGAUGGAGAGUCAGGUGUUAGGGUGGAGAGUCAGGUGUUAGGGUGGAGAGUCAGGUGUUAGGGUGGAGGGUCAGGUGUUAGGGUGGAGAGUCAGGUGUUAGGAUGGAGAGUCAGGUGUUAGGGUGGAGGGUCAGGUGUUAGGGUGGAGAGUCAGGUGUUAGGGUGGAGAGUCAGGUGUUAGGGUGGAGAGUCAGGUGUUACGGCCCGUCCACACGGCGGCGUGCGUUGAAGCUUCAACGCUUCUGCCCGUUCACUUUGAAUGGGGUGACGUCACGCUUCGCCGAACUGCAUUGUGGGAGCGUCGCUACGCGUUGCUCGCUGCAAAAGUUGAGCAAUGUUCAACUUUUGAAGCUUCAGCGGAAGCAUCAGCCAAUCAAAACAUAUGCCAGUACAAGCUCUAGCCAAUCAAACCGCGUGCUUGUGUGUCUGGGGCGGGAG